Jaculus jaculus (lesser Egyptian jerboa) is the source of this 444-nucleotide RNA transcript. It is a transcript of the gene named regulatory subunit of type II PKA R-subunit domain containing 1, with no coding region annotated. The record is from RefSeq and is a predicted model, not a curated record. NCBI's taxonomy places the organism in Eukaryota, Metazoa, Chordata, Mammalia, Rodentia, Dipodidae. The transcript has 5 exons.
UUGACGACCGCAGCAAGAUGGCGCAGCUACCGCACCGAGGGCUGGGGCCGGAGCCCGGGGUCCUGAGCCCCGAGCAACGGGAGGAGCUCCGAAACUUCAAGAUCCAGACUCGGAUUGCCAAUGAGAAGUACCUGCGGACCCACAAGGAAGUGAGGCUGCUCAUAAGCAGCUUCUUCAGAGAAAUCUUUCUGAAAAGACCAGAUGACGUUCUAGAAUUUGCUGCAGACUAUUUCACGGAUCCAAGACUUCCCAACAAGAUUCACAGGCAGCUGAUUCAAGAAAAGAAGGCAGCUUAAUUAGCAAAACUGCACUGUUCAGCUGCUGGGAGACGAGAUGGAGUCCAGCCCCGGGGUCAUGUGGAGGCCUGAGAGCCAUUAGGGUUUCCAAGCUGCAUGGGUCCUGUCUGCUGUUGCAAAUAUCCUCAUUAAAGUCAGACCUGCCUGC